GUUUUAAGUGUUUUUUU
RNAcentral lists this small RNA (17 nucleotides) under Arabidopsis thaliana (thale cress). Its description in RNAcentral is "ATSL062840". The record is from RNAcentral. Lineage: Eukaryota; Viridiplantae; Streptophyta; Magnoliopsida; Brassicales; Brassicaceae.